This 65-nucleotide transfer RNA is filed under the name Phyllodactylus unctus (San Lucan gecko). RNAcentral's name for it is "tRNA-Tyr". The record is from RNAcentral. Lineage: Eukaryota; Metazoa; Chordata; Lepidosauria; Squamata; Phyllodactylidae.
GGUAGGGUGGCCGAGUAGUAGGCGGCGGCUUGUAGACCCGCCAACGGGUGAACACCCCCCUAUCA